RNAcentral lists this ribosomal RNA (253 nucleotides) under uncultured bacterium. Its description in RNAcentral is "partial 16S ribosomal RNA". It matches the Rfam family "Bacterial small subunit ribosomal RNA", at positions 524 to 776 of the family's 1533-position model. The record is from RNAcentral.
UACGUAGGGGGCAAGCGUUGUCCGGAUUUAUUGGGCGUAAAGAGCGUGUAGGCGGCCAGAUAGGUCUGUUGUGAAAACUCGAGGCUCAACCUCGAGACGCCGAUGGAAACCAUCUGGCUAGAGUCCGGAAGAGGAGAGUGGAAUUCCUGGUGUAGCGGUGAAAUGCGCAGAUAUCAGGAAGAACACCCGUGGCUAAGGCGGCUCUCUAGUACGGUACUGACGCUGAGACGCGAAAGCGUGGGGAGCGAACAGG